CCACUAAAUUUCGGUCUUCUAAAAAUAAAAUGUUAUUUUAAUCAUUUUUAUUUUAGGCGAGAAAAUUUAAUCUUAUUUCAUCUGUUACUUAUCCCUGCCCAAGAUUUUGUGCGAGGUCGAUUUGGAUUUUUAUUCUGAAAUUCUGUGUUCUGUGCAUGUGCUGUUCGACUUUAAUCAUAUGAAGGGCGCCAUCAAGCGAGCCGAUGCAGUAACCGCGGGAAGCUGAAGUGAAGUCGCGGUGCUGGUUACGGAUGAACAAUCACGGACGACCCAUAAGCAAUGUACAUGACGUACCGAAGGUUGGGAGACUUGAACAAAGAGUUUCUGCAUCCAUGCUGUCUAACUUCACACCAGUGCACUGAAUAUAAUGAUAAUAUGGGUCCAUGCAUUAACCCGCUGUGGGCAGAUCAGUCUCUCCACCAGCCCAUUUUGUCAGGAUUGUGCCUUUUUGAGAGGAAAAUAAACCAGAACUCAAGUCUGCCAGUGCUUUAUCCGAGCACACAA
Patiria miniata (bat star) is the source of this 504-nucleotide long non-coding RNA. RefSeq lists it as uncharacterized. The record is from RefSeq and is a predicted model, not a curated record. The transcript is spliced from 2 exons. Lineage: Eukaryota; Metazoa; Echinodermata; Asteroidea; Valvatida; Asterinidae.